This 253-nucleotide ribosomal RNA is filed under the name uncultured bacterium. RNAcentral describes it as "partial 16S ribosomal RNA". It matches the Rfam family "Bacterial small subunit ribosomal RNA", at positions 524 to 776 of the family's 1533-position model. The record is from RNAcentral.
UACGUAGGGGGCAAGCGUUGUCCGGAAUUAUUGGGCGUAAAGAGCGCGUAGGCGGUCCGAUAAGUCGGCUGUGAAAGUCCAGGGCUCAACCCUGGAAAGCCGGUGGAAACUGUCGAGCUAGAGUCCGGAAGAGGCGAGUGGAAUUCCUGGUGUAGCGGUGAAAUGCGCAGAUAUCAGGAGGAACACCAAUGGCGAAGGCAGCUCGCUGGGACGGUACUGACGCUGAGACGCGAAAGCGUGGGGAGCAAACAGG